GUGGGGAAUAUUGGACAAUGGGCGGAAGCCUGAUCCAGCCAUGCCGCGUGUGUGAAGAAGGCCUUUUGGUUGUAAAGCACUUUAAGCGAGGAGGAGGCUCCUUUAGUUAAUACCUAAAGUGAGUGGACGUUACUCGCAGAAUAAGCACCGGCUAACUCUGUGCCAGCAGCCGCGGUAAUACAGAGGGUGCGAGCGUUAAUCGGAUUUACUGGGCGUAAAGCGUGCGUAGGCGGCUUUUUAAGUCGGAUGUGAAAUCCCUGAGCUUAACUUAGGAAUUGCAUUCGAUACUGGAAAGCUAGAGUAUGGGAGAGGAUGGUAGAAUUCCAGGUGUAGCGGUGAAAUGCGUAGAGAUCUGGAGGAAUACCGAUGGCGAAGGCAGCCAUCUGGCCUAAUACUGACGCUGAGGUACGAAAGCAUGGGGAGCAAACAGGAUUAGAUACCCGUGUAGUCC
This 451-nucleotide ribosomal RNA is filed under the name uncultured bacterium. RNAcentral's name for it is "partial 16S ribosomal RNA". It matches the Rfam family "Bacterial small subunit ribosomal RNA", at positions 354 to 796 of the family's 1533-position model. The record is from RNAcentral.